CGGUUCCACGGAACCGGA
Molecule: small nuclear RNA, 18 nt
Filed under: Arabidopsis thaliana (thale cress)
Lineage: Eukaryota; Viridiplantae; Streptophyta; Magnoliopsida; Brassicales; Brassicaceae
Description: snRNA_07839
Source: RNAcentral